AUUGAACGCUGGCGGCAGGCCUAACACAUGCAAGUCGAGCGGCUCGCGGGACGGGUGAGUGAUGCAUAUGUAUCUGACUGUUAGUGGGGGAGAAAGACCGCAACCGGACGCUAACACUGCUAACUUUCAGAUCAGCCUAGGCCGGAUUAGCUAGGUGGUGGGGUAAAGGCCUACCUAGGCCACGAUCCGUAACUGGUCUGAGAGGAUGACCAGUCACACUGGAACUGAGACACGGUCCAGACUCCUACGGGAGGCAGCAGUGGGGAAUAUUGGACAAUGGGCGAAAGCCUGAUGCAGCCAUGCCGCGUGUGUGAAGAAGGCCUUCGGUUUGUAAAGCACUUUAAGUUGGGAGGCGUUACCCGCAGAAUAAGCACCGGCUAACUUCGUGCCAGCAGCCGCGGUAAUAC
Molecule: ribosomal RNA, 407 nt
Filed under: uncultured bacterium
Lineage: Bacteria
Description: partial 16S ribosomal RNA
Rfam family: Bacterial small subunit ribosomal RNA
Source: RNAcentral